Molecule: non-coding RNA, 349 nt
Organism: Odocoileus virginianus texanus
Lineage: Eukaryota; Metazoa; Chordata; Mammalia; Artiodactyla; Cervidae
Source: RefSeq, a predicted model, not a curated record
UACUCACAGGACUGCCAUCAGGACCCGCAGGGCCUCUGUCUCCAAAGUCACCUGGAAAACCCUAACCCAAGGAAAGAGAAAGAAAUGCUGUUAAAACCCAAAUAAGGAAUUCAUCUUUGCUUUGUUUUCAGGAAGAGCUCUGAGUUCCUUUAAUAAAAUGAACCUGUUUGCAGCUAUACUAUCUCCAUUGUUAAAAAAAAAGGAUCUGAAAGAUUGAUUGUAAAAUAUGGAACAAUAGUGACAUAACACUUUGCCUUUGAACUUAGAAUACAAAGGAGUUUCUAGAGUUUCUUUUUCUCCUUGAAAAAAUACAUUGCAAAAUGAAAUAAUAAAUUUUCUCUCAUAUUUA